This is a long non-coding RNA of Monodelphis domestica (gray short-tailed opossum), 1252 nucleotides long. NCBI's taxonomy places the organism in Eukaryota, Metazoa, Chordata, Mammalia, Didelphimorphia, Didelphidae. The record is from Ensembl.
GGAAGACAUGCCCCCAGAACUCAGAGAUACCUCCAUCGUAGCCCUAUACAAGAACAAACGUGCAUGAGUAGCCUGUGACAACUACAGAGGGAUCUCACUACUCUCCACUGCUGGAAAGAUCCUCGCCCGUGUUAUACUCAACAGACUCCUGUCAUCUGUUUUAGAGCAGAACCUGCCUGAAUCACAAUAUGGCUUCCGACCAGAUUGUAACACCAUCGACAUGGUCUUCACGGUGAGGCAAAUACAGAAAAAAUGCCUUGAGCAGAACCUGAGUCUCUACAUUGUCUUCAUAGACCUGACAAAGGCAUUUGACACAGUGUACAGGGACGCAUUGUGGGUGAUCCUUAGCAAGCUCAGUUGCCCAGCAAAAUUUGUCAAACUGAUCCAACUCUUUCAUGUCGACAUGACAGGGGAAGUCCUAUCUGGUGGAGAGAUUUCCAUUAGCUUCAACAUCUCUAAUGGCGUGAAACAAGGCUGUGUCCUCGCUCUGGUACUAUUCAACCUAUACUUCACCCAAGUAUUACGACAUACUGUGAUAGAUGUAGACUUGGGCGUCUAUAUCAAAUACCGACUGGAUGGCUCACUAUUUGACCUUCACCACCUGACUGCAAAAACAAAGACAACAGAGAGACUCAUCCUGGAAGCUCUCUUCGCAGAUGACUGUGCUCUCAUGGCCCACCAAGUAAAUCAUCUUCAAACCAUUGUGGACAGGUUCUCUACCACAACAAAACUGUUUGGCCUGACUAUCAGACUCAGCAAAACAGAGGUGCUGUUCCAACCCACACCAGGGAGGCCAACGAACCAGCUGUGCAUUACAAUCGAUGGCCCGCAGCUUUCCAACGUCAACACUUUCAAGUACCUGGGCAGCACCAUGGCCAACGACGGGUCCCUAGACCAUGAGAUCAAUGCCAGGAUCCAAAAGUCCAGCCAGGCACUCGGGUGGCUGUGCUGCAAAGUCCUCCAACACAGAGGUGUAAGCACUGCGACAAAGCUCAAAGUGUAUAACGCAGUAGUCCUCAGCUCGCUCCUGUAUGGUUGUGAGACAUGGACACUGUACUGGAAGCACAUGAAACAGCUGGAGCAAUUCCACCAACGCUCCCUCUGAUCAAUCAUGAGGAUCCAAUGGCAGGACCGAAUCACCAACCAGGAAGUCCUCGACAGAGCCAACUCCACCAGCAUCAAAGUCAUGGUCCUCCAAACCCAGCUACGAUGGUCUGGACACAUCAUCCGCAUGGACCCACAGCGAAUACCA